GAUGAACGCUGGCGGCGUGCCUAAUACAUGCAAGUCGAGCGAACAGACGAGGAGCUUGCUCCUCUGACGUUAGCGGCGGACGGGUGAGUAACACGUGGAUAACCUACCUAUAAGACUGGGAUAACUUCGGGAAACCGGAGCUAAUACCGGAUAAUAUAUUGAACCGCAUGGUUGAAUGGUGAAAGACGGUUUUGCUGUCACUUAUAGAUGGAUCCGCGCCGCAUUGGCUAGUUGGUAAGGUAACGGCUUACCAAGGCAACGAUGCGUAGCCGACCUGAGAGGGUGGUCGGCCACACUGGAGCGGAGACGCGGUCCAGGCUCCUACGGGAGGCAGCAGUAGGGAAUCUUCCGCAAUGGGCGAGAGCCUGACGGAGCGGCGCCGCGUGAGUGAUGAAGGUCUUCGGAUCGUAAAGCUCUGUUAUUAGGGAAGAACAAAUGUGUAAGUAACUGUGCACGUCGUGACGGUACCUGAUCAGAAAGCCACGGCUAACUACGUG
Molecule: ribosomal RNA, 497 nt
Filed under: uncultured bacterium
Lineage: Bacteria
Description: partial 16S ribosomal RNA
Rfam family: Bacterial small subunit ribosomal RNA
Source: RNAcentral